Molecule: long non-coding RNA, 2377 nt
Organism: Sphaeramia orbicularis (orbiculate cardinalfish)
Lineage: Eukaryota; Metazoa; Chordata; Actinopteri; Kurtiformes; Apogonidae
Source: Ensembl
CUACUAAUAAUUAUCUCAUGUGUCAGUUGACUUAUUUGAUAAUCUGUGUUUUCCCUCCUCAGGGUUUCCUCCUCAGAAAAACUCACAUGUGAACCACGUCAUUUCACCCGACACGUCUCCCCCCUCACCCAUCAACCUCCCUCCGCCUCUGCCCGUUAAGUCUCGUGACUUGAUGCCACAGGAUUCGCCCCCACCCAGACUCAGCCAUCCAGAGGACAGACCCCCUGAUUCUCCACCUCCCCUGUCUCGCAGUGGGACAGCGAGGGUCAGCUUCAGGGAACCGAUCAGCAGCAGCUACUCUGUCGAAGAGGACGAGGACGAACACGAGAAUGAGGAGGAGCCGGAAGAGGAUGAGGAAAAACAAGAGGAUGAUGAUGAGGUGGAGGGAGCAUUUGGAAGCAGGUUAAAUCUACAGAAAGGCAUCCCACCGCAGAUGGAUCUACUGGAUGGAUCCUCUUACCAUCAGCGUAAUCAACGUCGAGGGUAUAAUCGGUCCCGUAUCCCCUCGGACUCUUCUCUCCACUUGGGCUCAGAGAGGCGCUCGAGACGCUCACGACCCGACCGACCCCGGCUGGAAACCUUAGACUGGAGAGCAGAGAAAGAAAGCCGAGGCUCUGCCAACUACCCCUCGCUGAGCCUCCAGCCCGGCCACUGCAAACACGAAGACUCCUGCUCGACAUGCUCUUCAUCCUCAGACUCGGAGGAGGAGGGGUUCUUUCUGGGACAACGCAUACCUCUGCCGCCGCAACUCCAGAUGCAAAAACCUGAGGAUAAAGACAGAGACGCAGAAAGGGAGAGGGAGGCACAGAAAGAGUGGGGGCUGAGAGGCAGCUUUAGGCGAAGACGAGCCCACAGCCUUGGUGCAAAAGACAAAGAUAAAAACUGUGCUAUUUCCUAACCCGUAACCACCAGUGACAUUAAGGCCCAAUCCUAGCACUUGGCCCUACCCCUGCUUUUUGCAGACUCUGGCACAAGGUAUAAUGUCUCGUGUCCUUUCAGAAUCAGGGGGAGAGUUUUCAGAUGCAGAUGUAGAUGCAGACAAUAUUCCAAAUGCUUUGCAGACUAUAGCAGUUAUUGUGAUGUGUGCAAGGAAAGAAGCAGAUAACUUACAUAAAUAUAUUGCACAUAAUCAUACAAACAUUGCUGUAAUAUCUUACUCACAUGUACAAUAGUUGCAGAAUUAUACUUUUUUCAUGUACCACAAACUGUUUGAAGGGUUAAAAACAAUCCAGCAGCAAUUUUUUCUAAAUUUUUCUACAGUUCCCCAUCCAUGUGAUAUUAGUAUAUGGUAGACAUUUCCACUUUGCUCCACUUGUCAAUGUUUCUAGGCUGUAAACCUUUUUCACAACAGACAGUUUGACAUGUUACAGCAGGUAAAGCUUCCGAUGAUCCUAACAUUGAUGAUAGAUCUGUUACAUUAAAGUGCCCCAGAAAGCCUUGCCAGACAGCCAGCUUGCACAAACCAACAUGGAAUGCAGCCAUGGGUAAUUAUAGUAAUUACACCUGUUCAAUUUCAGCCACAAGUCAAAAUAUUGGCUCUGAAAAAGGUCUAUUGUCAAUAAUAACUUGUGUUGUUCUGUCCUGCAACUGAAGUCAGAUUUGUCUGUGUAAUAAUUGUUAAUGGUAGUAAACAAGGGCUUGGGAUUGGGCCUGGAAUACAGCAUGCAAGAGAAGAACAUAUAGCCCUUUAUCACUCCUGGGAAUUGACUUUGUGUCCAAACUAAGACACUGUUCAUCAAAGGGAAGCAUAUUAAACCUCAGAAAAGUCUGAUGCCAUCGACACUUCACUGUUUAACUGUGUAGAAAAUAACGUAGAGUGUGUGACUUACAUGUGUCAUAGCAGGUUUGUUUACGCAGAUCUGUCUGCAGUGUGUUGAGCUCAAACGAUCAUGCAGUGACAUGUACAGUAUCUGCUUUUCAACGCUACUGUCAUUUACAUAUGCAAACCUCCCAUGUAGAACCAGAAGCUGACAGCCCAGUUGUUUUCAAGCACAUUCCUCUAACAUGGCUUGUAAAAAGGAAUAAUCUUUGUAUUUUAAAUUCUGCUGUAAACGUUUUCUGCUUUCAUGUGCAAUUUUAUACAGCUGUAAUAUAUUACAGUUUAAAGAAAUGGCCAAAUAUUAUUUGAUCGUAUGUGACUCAAACACUUGUAGUUUUAUACGUUGACAACACAAAGUGGAACUUGUGUGAAUGUUACAGGGUUAAGUUUGUAAUCUGUGUUGUAUAGUACAAUACAAAAUGCAAAUGUCCAAUCAAAGUACAUUAUUUUUAUAUACAUGGUGUAGGUCGUUGUUCUUUGAAAUAUUAUUUGGGAUUAAAAAAAAAGAUUACUAUAAUAAUGUUUGUUUCUCUGAUUCUGUGAGACAAUUCUAUGGUG